AAACAAGAUGGCCGCGGCACUCCGUCGCGGAAGUAGAUGAGAGCGUCUUCGUCACAUACGCAAGAAAGGACAGGCUACAGUGCGCAGGGAUACGCCGGGAGACAAAUAUAACGCGGAGCGAUUUGUCAGAAGCUAAAGUCUUUAUUCGUGAAAGCCCAGCGACUACCUGGAACUACGUUCUUCGUCACCGAAAUCCGGCCAGAACUGGAUUUAGGAGACCAAGUGGGGGGUCUGAGUACUGGAAGACGGAUUUUGUCCUUAAGCGCUGCACAACAAAAAGGCAAGGCUGGACAAGGAUGAAGAAGAGGUGGCUCGAGAGGACAUGAGUUACAUGUGUGGGUUGCAAAUGCGGAAGAAGUGGAUGUGGGGGUGUUGCUGCAGGUGCGGAGAGAAGGAAUGGAAGUAAGACAGGAGAAUAAUGAGAAAGGAGAAGACCCUCAGUUCACCUUUCGCAGACUUGCUGUUUCGUGGAUUUUUGGAGGACGACGACACGAACAACAAGGAUACAAAAACGCUACAGCCAAACGACGCCAGGACGAAGUGAAUACGAACGAACCUGCGACUGGUACUUCACAGCAGGCAUACACUGCACCUUUGCCAAGCCUUCCAACCACAAAUCUUAAGGUGCUCUAAAUAUUUCCAUGCAUACCUGCAAUGGAAUGCAAAAAAACGGCUAUAACUGGUGGUUAACACUUUGUAAUUCUUUGGUUUUGAAAAUUGCUAUUUGGAGACCUGAUACAUUUACAAUAAUCCUUUGUUUAUCGCAAUUAAUUGGUUUCAGACCCAGCCAUAAUAAGUGAAUUUCCGCAAAGUAGGAUUCCUUAUUCAUAAAUGGAAUAAUUUCAUAGAGUAUAGAAAACCUGUUUAUGACCUUCUAAAUAUGUUUUUUUAAACAUUAUUUGAGUCCCUUAAUCAUGACAUAACACCCUUUUUGUCACCUUUGCACUUGUAUUACCCAGUAUAGUAGAUACAAUCAGAGAAAAGAAGAAGACAUCAAUAAAACUUUUGUGUCAAAGUAAAUGUGUUGAGGACAGCAAGUAGCGUUGGGGGUUCAGAGUUGAGUUUUAGCUUGGCAUGGGUUAUGGCCGCAACCUUUAACCUUUGUUAUGAUGAUGAUGAAUGUAUAAUUCAA
Molecule: long non-coding RNA, 1132 nt
Organism: Dunckerocampus dactyliophorus (ringed pipefish)
Lineage: Eukaryota; Metazoa; Chordata; Actinopteri; Syngnathiformes; Syngnathidae
Exons: 5
Source: RefSeq, a predicted model, not a curated record